AAGUCGUAACAAGGUUUCCGUAGGUGAACCUGCGGAAGGAUCAUUAACACGUAUCCACGUAUCAACCCCUAGUGUCACGAGUACGCUCGCGCGUGCUCAGUUUUCUCUUUCUUUUCCACAAUGAAUUUUAACCACUUGAACCCAUCAGACUAAAACUAUUUCGUGCUUUUUUUUGCGCAAGCGAAAAGAAACCGAAACAAUAAAACAACAAGAAACAACUCUUAGCGACGGAUUUCUUGGCUCCC
This 245-nucleotide unclassified non-coding RNA is filed under the name fungal sp. Its description in RNAcentral is "partial internal transcribed spacer region". The stretch from base 1 to 46 matches the Rfam family "Eukaryotic small subunit ribosomal RNA", at positions 1786 to 1831 of the family's 1831-position model. The record is from RNAcentral. Lineage: Eukaryota; Fungi.